Long non-coding RNA from Homo sapiens (human), 1003 nucleotides. Ensembl annotates it as long intergenic non-protein coding RNA 2028. The record is from Ensembl. NCBI's taxonomy places the organism in Eukaryota, Metazoa, Chordata, Mammalia, Primates, Hominidae.
GAGCAGCUGCGCCACCGGCUCAGCCUCGCGGCGGGGGAAACCCGAGCUCCCAACAAAACGGUUCCAUCUUUGGCUAGGCCUUUGGCACCAAAGAAGGCCCAGAGAGGUUUAACAACUUCCUCAGAAUCACACAGCUUCCAAAUGGUUGGGUUGGGUUUACAUUUAGGCGGUCUUGCUCCAGAGCCAGUGCUCCUAACCUUUGCAAGCCACGAACCUCAAGAAAGUGGAGAAGGAAACGCUGGGAAAUCUGGAAGUCAGACAUGGCAAGUUUUUCUCACUGUAAGAAGAGGACAAUAGCCUAUGAUCUACAGUGCCCAUUCCAACUCAGAGAAUCUUUACAUCUGGAGAUCUAUAGCAGGGCUAUCCCUAGUGACAUGCGUGAAGAAGCUUGGAAAUGGUGCUGGGUAGGAGCUGAGUGUGCAGAAUGUGGAAAGGCAUUCUAAACCAAAGGAAGAACACGAGUAAAGAUGAUGAAGCAGGGAUAAGGCUAAAAUGAAAUUUGUGAUCUGAUCCACAUACAAGCACAGUGUAGUACAGCUGGAAUAUAGAGAAGAGCUUGAAGACUUAUGAGCAACUAUCCCGGUACUCUUGGAGGCUCUGCAACCACAGUUUGAGAAACUCCGCGUUCAAAGUUAAAAACUGUCACCUGAAUAGUUAAUAACAUCAAAGAUUGUGAAAGCAAGUAUAAAUAACACAGAGAUUAAAAUAAUGAGGCAGGAUCAGAAAGAUGACUGAAACCCACAGCAAACAAUCCUCAUGAAAUACAGCUCAGCUCAUCCUGAAGAAUAAGUGGGAGGUCAGCCUCACGGGAAAUUCGAUAUCUCCACAUGCAGCUGUCAUGCCACAUGGAAACAGUCAUGCAUAGGGUCCUGUCACCUGGUAGACUGACCCCAGGUCCACUGACCCCUGACAAUCAUCAACCGCUUCUGAGGGCUCCAUGAUUGAGAUUUGUCCCCAGGAACUCAGGGGAAACUAUAUAUUGAUUAAAAUGAACUAUCAAAAU